AUUGUGGCAUUUAUUUUCAACAUCACAAAAUAUAAUAUGUUUUUGCAGGUGAGCCAGGUCAGGUCGGAUCAUCAGGGCCUCCUGGUGAGAAAGGUCUUAAAGGAUCAGCAGGUGCUCCUGGGCCAGAUGGUGUUAAAGGAAUUCGAGGUCAUUUUAAAACUAAGCCUUGGGAAAAUAUUAGUCUGUGUCUUUCUUUUUAAGCGUUCAUUCUGAAAAUUUCUCCUUCAUUUAAAUUCAAGGGGAUCAAGGUCCGAUUGGGUUGCCUGGAGCUCGGGGACCCUCAGGGUCUCCUGGAGAUGCAGGAAUACCAGGUAUAAAUG
RNAcentral lists this long non-coding RNA (320 nucleotides) under Sinocyclocheilus grahami. RNAcentral describes it as "lncRNA (ENSSGRG00000006739.1)". The record is from RNAcentral. Lineage: Eukaryota; Metazoa; Chordata; Actinopteri; Cypriniformes; Cyprinidae.